AUGUGCAGGGAGCGUUUUUGGGUUCGGUGCUGCCGGAUUUGGAACCGGGGGGGAUUUUCCAAACCAGGCCGCUCAGCCCCGGCCUCUGCGCAGCUGCCGGGUCCGUCCUGCGGGAUCAGCCCGCGUGGAGGAGCCGCUCCUGCAGCCGCUGCUUUGUUCCUGAGAGGGGCAGGAACGGAGCAGCCCCGGCAGGAACCGGGCGGGAUCCGCGCUGUGCCAGCCCGAGGAGCCGAAGGAGCGUCCCGGACUCGGGGAGGCUGCGGCCCGCACGGAGCUGCUCCAUUCCGCCUUCUCCCGCAUGGAGCUGCUCCAUCCCUGCUGCUCCCGCAUGGAGCUCGGAGCUGCUCCAUUCCUGCUUCUUCCGCACGGAGCUGCGCCAGUUCCGCUUCUUCCGCACGGAGCUGCUCCAUCUCUGCUUCUCCUGCAUGGAGCUCGGAGCUGCUCCAUCCCUGCAUCUCCCGCAUGGAGCUGCUCCAUCCCUGCAUCUCCCUCAUGGAGCUGCUCCAUCUCUGCUUCUCCCGCAUGGAGCUCGGAGCUGCUCCAUGCCGGCUUCUCCAGCACAGAGCUGCGCCAGUUCCGCUUCUCCCGCACGGAGCUGCUCCAUUCCUGCUGCUUUAUCCCUGCUUCUCCCGCUUCUCCCGCACGGAGCUGCUCCAUUCCUGCUGCUCCAUUCCUGCAUCUCCCGCACGGAGCUGCUCCAUCCCUGCUGCUCUAUCCCUGCUUCUCCCACACGGAGCUGCUCCAAUUCCGCUUCUCCAGCACGGAGAUGCUCCAUCCCUGCAUCUCCCGCACGGAGCUGCUCCCUUCCUGCUGCUCCAUUCCCGCUUCUCCAGCACAGAGUUGCUCCAUCCAUGCUUCUCCAGCACGGAGUUGCUCUAUCACCACCCCUGCAGCACGGAGCUGCUCCAUCCCCGCUGCUCCAUCCCCGCGGUUCCCUCACGGAGCUGCUCCAUCCCCGCCGCUCCAUCCCCGCGGUCCCGCAGCUCCGGGCCCGGCUCACGCCGCUCUUUUUUCUCCUCUCCCGCAGCCUCCGCCCGGUUCGGGUCCCUCGGAGCCCUGUGGAGCAGCGUUAACCCCUGCGAGCCCAGCGCGGAGCACGGAGCGCUCACGGAGCCGCCGGGACCGGAGAGGGGGGGGACACGGGAGGGGGCUCCGAGGAGCUGCCAGGACCCGGCUAAUCCCCCUGCCAGGACCUGUGUCCUUCCCCUGCCAGGACCUGAGUCCUUCCCUCUGCCGGGACCCGGCUAA
RNAcentral lists this long non-coding RNA (1248 nucleotides) under Catharus ustulatus (Swainson's thrush). RNAcentral's name for it is "lncRNA (ENSCUSG00005011944.1)". Lineage: Eukaryota; Metazoa; Chordata; Aves; Passeriformes; Turdidae. The record is from RNAcentral.